Non-coding RNA from Melanomma pulvis-pyrius CBS 109.77, 72 nucleotides. The record is from the annotation of a GenBank genome assembly. NCBI's taxonomy places the organism in Eukaryota, Fungi, Ascomycota, Dothideomycetes, Pleosporales, Melanommataceae.
GUUCGCUUGGUAUAGUGGUAAGCAUUUUAGUUCGUUACGCUAACAACGCGAGUUCGAGUCUCGUAGAGAGAG